GAGCUGUUGCAUGAUGAAUUCAAUGAGUGAUCCAUCAACAGAUUUAAAGCUGUUGACUCAUCAAAUACUGACAAUAGCUU
Erpetoichthys calabaricus (reedfish) is the source of this 80-nucleotide small nucleolar RNA. The record is from Ensembl. Lineage: Eukaryota; Metazoa; Chordata; Cladistia; Polypteriformes; Polypteridae.